RNAcentral lists this ribosomal RNA (483 nucleotides) under uncultured eukaryote. RNAcentral describes it as "SSU rRNA". It matches the Rfam family "Eukaryotic small subunit ribosomal RNA", at positions 21 to 509 of the family's 1831-position model. The record is from RNAcentral.
UAGUCAUAUGCUUGUCUCAAAGAUUAAGCCAUGCAUGUCUAAGUAUACGCAAAUUAUACUGUGAAACUGCGAAUGGCUCAUUAAAUCAGUUAUAGUUUAUUUGAUGUUUCUUGCUACAUGGAUAACUGUGGUAAUUCUAGAGCUAAUACAUGCGUAAAAAGCCCCGACUUCUGGAAGGGGUGUAUUUAUUAGAUAAAAACCAUCCUCCUCGGAGUUUGGUGAUUCAUAAUAACUUCUCGAAUCGCACGGCCUUGUGCUGGCGAUGCUUCAUUCAAAUAUCUGCCCUAUCAACUGUCGAUGGUAGGAUAGAGGCCUACCAUGGUUGCAACGGGUAACGGGGAAUAAGGGUUCGAUUCCGGAGAGGGAGCCUGAGAAACGGCUACCACAUCCAAGGAAGGCAGCGGGCGCGCAAAUUACCCAAUCCCGACGCGGGGAGGUAGUGACGAUAAAUAACGAAUGCGGGGCCCUUUUGGGUCUUGUAAU